This 1536-nucleotide ribosomal RNA is filed under the name metagenome. Its description in RNAcentral is "bacterial LSU rRNA". It matches the Rfam family "Bacterial large subunit ribosomal RNA", at positions 1405 to 2860 of the family's 2925-position model. The record is from RNAcentral.
CUCCCCGUACCCGCGAAAGAGCGUCCCUGAUGAACCUUACUGUGCUAACCACCCAAGCCACCUAAGACCUUCGGGUUGAGGGUGGGGAGCGUGGGAACCUGGUGGGUAGUAGUCAAGCGAUGGGGUGACGCAGGAAGGUAGCUGAUCCCGGCCGGUGGUUGUGCCGGGGUAAGCGUGUAGGCCGCACCAUAGGCAAAUCCGUGGUGCAUGAAGGCUGAGACGUGAUGCCGAGCCGAUUCAGGUGAAGUCAGUGAUCCUAUGCUGCCGAGAAAAGCCUCUAGCGAGUUCUUGGCGGCCCGUACCCCAAACCGACACAGGUGGUCAGGUAGAGAAUACCAAGGCGACGGGCGAACUGUGGUUAAGGAACUCGGCAAAUUACCCCCGUAACUUCGGGAGAAGGGGGGCCGGACACGUGAAGCAACACGCUUGUGUAGCGUGGUAUGGCCGCAGAGACCAGGGGGAAGCGACUGUUUACUAAAAACACAGGUCCAUGCGAAGAAGUAAUUCGAUGUAUAUGGACUGACGCCUGCCCGGUGCUGUAACGUUAAGGGGACCUGUUAGCUCUUCGGGGCGAAGCGGAGAACUUAAGCGCCAGUAAACGGCGGUGGUAACUAUAACCAUCCUAAGGUAGCGAAAUUCCUUGUCGGGUAAGUUCCGACCUGCACGAAUGGCGUAACGACUUCCCUACUGUCUCAACCACAGGCCCGGCGAAAUUGCAGUACGAGUAAAGAUGCUCGUUACGCGCGGCAGGACGGAAAGACCCCGGGACCUUUACUAUAGCUUGACAUUGGUAUCUGAGUUAAUUUGUGUAGGAUAGGUGGGAGCCUGUGAAGCUCGUACGCCAGUACGGGUGGAGGCAAUCUUGAAAUACCACUCUGGUUGAUUCGGGUAUCUAACUUCGGACCGUGAUCCGGUUCAGGGACAGUGUCUGGUGGGUAGUUUAACUGGGGCGGUUGCCUCCUAAAGAGUAACGGAGGCGCCCAAAGGUUCCCUCAGCCUGGUUGGCAAUCAGGUGUUGAGUGUAAGUGCACAAGGGAGCUUGACUGUGAGACUGACAGGUCGAGCAGGGACGAAAGUCGGGACUAGUGAUCCGGCACCGGCAUGUGGAAGCGGUGUCGCUCAACGGAUAAAAGGUACCCCGGGGAUAACAGGCUGAUCUUCCCCAAGAGUCCAUAUCGACGGGAUGGUUUGGCACCUCGAUGUCGGCUCGUCGCAUCCUGGGGCUGUAGCAGGUCCCAAGGGUUGGGCUUUUCGCCCAUUAAAGCGGUACGCGAGCUGGGUUUAGAACGUCGUGAGACAGUUCGGUCCCUAUCCCCGUGCGCGUAGGAUACUUGAGAAGGGCUGUCCCUAGUACGAGAGGACCGGGACGGACGAACCUCUGGUGUGCCAGUUGUCCCGCCAGGGGCACGGCUGGUUAGCUGCGUUCGGAAGGGAUAACCGCUGAAAGCAUCUAAGCGGGAAGCUCGCUUCAAGAUGAGGUAUCCCACCCACACUUGUGUGGGGUAAGGCCCCCAGCUAGACCACUGGGUUGAUAGG